Non-coding RNA from Myotis brandtii (Brandt's bat), 75 nucleotides. The record is from Rfam. NCBI's taxonomy places the organism in Eukaryota, Metazoa, Chordata, Mammalia, Chiroptera, Vespertilionidae.
GGAGGUUCUUGGGUGACACACCCCAGAAUCGGGCUCCCUCCUGUCUGGUUCUAGCUGCGUCACCUGAGAAAUGCA